This 1245-nucleotide long non-coding RNA is filed under the name Homo sapiens (human). Its description in RNAcentral is "non-protein coding lnc-IRS2-1:2". The record is from RNAcentral. Lineage: Eukaryota; Metazoa; Chordata; Mammalia; Primates; Hominidae.
GGCAAUCUGUUAGGGUUUGUGUCUGUCGUGUGGAAGCUUUGUUCAUUCGUCUUUUGCAAUAAAUCUUGCUACUGCUCAGUCUUUGGGUCCACACUGCUUUUAUGAGCUGUAGCAGUCACCACGAAGGUCUGCAGCUGCACUCCUGAGGCUAGCGAGACCACGAACCCACCGGGAGGAGCGAACGACUCCAGACGCGCUGACUUAAGAGCUGUAACAGCUUACCGCUAAGGUCUGCAGCUUCACUCCUGAGCCAGAGAGACCAGGAACCCACCUAGAAGGAACAAACUCCGGACAUGCCGCCUUUAAGAGCUGUAACACUCACCGCCAGGGUCCGCAGCUGCAUUCUUGAAGUCAGUGAGACCAAGAACCCACCAAUUCCAGACACACUGUCAUCAAAAAGUGGGAUAUCUUUUUAAACAGAGAUAACAUUGCAGAAUCUUGGAGUUGGAAAUAGACCUCAGCUGGGGUUUAGUCCUGUUUUCUCCUCAGAGCAGAAGUCCUGGGAUGCCGUUCUGGACUGAUUGUCAGUUUUUUCUCCUGUCCUUGAGCUAUUCUAAUGCCAGACAUCUGUGGCUUUACACAGCCAGGCUUUCAGUUAGAGAACUUGGUUAGCUCAGGUCAACAAAUGCUGCUCUGAGAACACUGACUCCCAUGUGGGGAGACUCUGCACCUGGAGCUCCGGGAGAGCCGGCUCAGGCCUCUUCCUGCUAUCCAGGGAACUGCAGUGGCGUUGGAGGGCCUUGCUGGGGCUGGGGCUGGGGAGAAGGGAUUCCAACCCUACUGAUAAUUCGUUUGGAAACACCGGGCUGUGGAUUUCAGAAGUUCUUGGGCAGCCUGAUUACCACUGGCAGUGAGCCGGGGACGAAGCCGAAGCUAUGAGUGACAGACGGAAAGAACUGGGGGCUUUGGUGAACCAGAGAACACUUAGCUCCUCCAGCCCUGAAGCAGGCGUCACCGCAGGGCUUAUGGUCCUAAGAGCCACUUAGUUUCCUUAUUCAUUAAACUAGUUUAAUUUGGGUUUUCUGCAUCCUGGAGGACACCAAGUCGGUGUGCGGAGGGACCCUGUAGACACGUGUGCAAAGAAUAAGCCGACGAUCAUGGAAUUUCUGAUGACGCCACUGACACGUGGGAUGGAGGCCUCCUUCCCAGGGCACCCCUACACUCAUGACAAUGAAUCCUGGCUCUUAUUCACCCCUUUGGAUUUCACAAGCAAGUAAUCGAUCUCUCUGCCUGCUGCCAUCCGAG